Molecule: ribosomal RNA, 432 nt
Filed under: uncultured bacterium
Lineage: Bacteria
Description: partial 16S ribosomal RNA
Rfam family: Bacterial small subunit ribosomal RNA
Source: RNAcentral
GAUGAACGCUGGCGGUAUGCUUAACACAUGCAAGUCGAACGGUCACUUCGGUGAUAGUGGCGGACGGGUGAGUAACGCGUGAGAAUCUGUCUUCAGGUCGGGGACAACAGUUAGAAAUGACUGCUAAUACCGGAUGUGCCUUUGGGUGAAAGAUUUAUUGCCUGAAAAAGAGCUCGCGUCAGAUUAGCUAGUAGGUGGUGUAAGAGACUACCUAGGCUCCGAUCUGUAGCUGGUCUGAGAGGACGAUCAGCCACACUGGAACUGAGACACGGUCCAGACUCCUACGGGAGGCAGCAGUGGGGAAUUUUCCGCAACGGGCGAAAGCCUGACGGAGCAAUACCGCGUGAGGGACGAAGGCUUUUGGGUCGUAAACCUCUUUUCUCAAGGAAGAUGAUGACGGUACUUGAGGAAUAAGCAUCGGCUAACCCUGUG